This 797-nucleotide ribosomal RNA is filed under the name uncultured Methanosarcina sp. Its description in RNAcentral is "bacterial SSU rRNA". It matches the Rfam family "Archaeal small subunit ribosomal RNA", at positions 85 to 879 of the family's 1478-position model. Lineage: Archaea; Methanobacteriati; Methanobacteriota; Methanomicrobia; Methanosarcinales; Methanosarcinaceae. The record is from RNAcentral.
ACUGCUCAGUAACACGUGGAUAACCUGCCCUUUGGGACCGGCAUAACCCCGGGAAACUGGGGAUAAUUCCGGAUAACGCAUAUUUGCUGGAAUGCUUUAUGCGUCAAAAGGAUUCGUCUGCCCAAGGAUGGGUCUGCGGCCUAUCAGGUAGUAGUGGGUGUAAUGUACCUACUAGCCAGCGACGGGUACGGGUUGUGAGAGCAAGAGCCCGGAGAUGGAUUCUGAGACAUGAAUCCAGGCCCUACGGGGCGCAGCAGGCGCGAAAACUUUACAAUGCGGGAAACCGUGAUAAGGGGACACCGAGUGCCAGCAUCAUAUGCUGGCUGUCCGGAUGUGUAAAAUACAUCCGUUAGCAAGGGCCGGGCAAGACCGGUGCCAGCCGCCGCGGUAACACCGGCGGCCCGAGUGGUGAUCGUGAUUAUUGGGUCUAAAGGGUCCGUAGCCGGUUUGGUCAGUCCUCCGGGAAAUCUGAUAGCUUAACUAUUAGGCUUUCGGGGGAUACUGCCAGACUUGGAACCGGGAGAGGUAAGAGGUACUACAGGGGUAGGAGUGAAAUCUUGUAAUCCCUGUGGGACCACCUGUGGCGAAGGCGUCUUACCAGAACGGGUUCGACGGUGAGGGACGAAAGCUGGGGGCACGAACCGGAUUAGAUACCCGGGUAGUCCCAGCCGUAAACGAUGCUCGCUAGGUGUCAGGCAUGGCGCGACCGUGUCUGGUGCCGCAGGGAAGCCGUGAAGCGAGCCACCUGGGAAGUACGGCCGCAAGGCUGAAACUUAAAGGAAUUGGCGGGGGAGCAC